Molecule: ribosomal RNA, 301 nt
Filed under: uncultured bacterium
Lineage: Bacteria
Description: partial 16S ribosomal RNA
Rfam family: Bacterial small subunit ribosomal RNA
Source: RNAcentral
CAGCCGCCGCGGUAAUACGUAGGUGGCGAGCGUUGUCCGGAAUUAUUGGGCGUAAAGCGCGCGCAGGUGGUUUAAUAAGUCUGAUGUGAAAGCCCACGGCUCAACCGUGGAGGGUCAUUGGAAACUGUUAAACUUGAGUGCAGGAGAGAAAAGUGGAAUUCCUAGUGUAGCGGUGAAAUGCGUAGAGAUUAGGAGGAACACCAGUGGCGAAGGCGGCUUUUUGGCCUGUAACUGACGCUGAGGCUCGAAAGCGUGGGGAGCAAACAGGAUUAGAUACCCCUGUAGUCCCUGUCUCUUAUAC